Molecule: ribosomal RNA, 1402 nt
Filed under: uncultured bacterium
Lineage: Bacteria
Description: bacterial SSU rRNA
Rfam family: Bacterial small subunit ribosomal RNA
Source: RNAcentral
CCUUAGAGUUUGAUCCUGGCUCAGAACGAACGCUGGCGGCGCGUCUUAAGCAUGCAAGUCGGACGGCAAGGGUUGUGCUUGCACAACUCCUAGAGUGGCGGACUGGUGAGUAACGCGUGGGUGACCUGCCCUCGAGAUGGGGAUAGCCAUUAGAAAUAGUGGAUAAUACCGAAUACGCUCAUGACCCUGUGGGGAUAUGAGGAAAACAGGCUACGGCCUGGCUCGAGGAUGGGCCCGCGUCCGAUUAGCUAGUUGGUGGGGUAACGGCUCACCAAGACUGCGAUGUCUAGGGGUUCUGAGAGGAAGGUCCCCCACACUGGAACUGAGACACGGUCCAGACUCCUACGGGAGGCAGCAGUGAGGAAUAUUGGUCAAUGGACGCAAGUCUGAACCAGCCAUGUCGCGUGCAGGAUGACUGCCCUAUGGGUUGUAAACUGCUUUUAUAUUGGAAGAAUUGCGCUUACGAGUUAAGCGUUUGACGGUACAUUAUGAAUAAGGAUCGGCUAACUCCGUGCCAGCAGCCGCGGUAAUACGGAGGAUCCGAGCGUUAUCCGGAUUUAUUGGGUUUAAAGGGUGCGUAGGCGGAAAUGUAAGUCAGUGGUGAAAUCCUGCAGCUUAACUGUAGAAUAGCCGUUGAAACUGUGUUUCUUGAGUACAUUUGAGGUAGGCGGAAUGUGGUGUGUAGCGGUGAAAUGCAUAGAUAUACCACAGAACACCGAUUGCGAAGGCAGCUUACUAAACUGUCACUGACGCUGAUGCACGAAAGCGUGGGUAUCAAACAGGAUUAGAUACCCUGGUAGUCCACGCUGUAAACGAUGAUUACUGGUUGUUUGCGAUACACUGCAAGUGACUGAGCGAAAGCAUUAAGUAAUCCACCUGGGGAGUACGUCGGCAACGAUGAAACUCAAAGGAAUUGACGGGGGCCCGCACAAGCGGAGGAACAUGUGGUUUAAUUCGAUGAUACGCGAGGAACCUUACCUGGGUUUAAAUGGGGAGUGACAGGCUUGGAAACAGGCCCUUCUUCGGACACUCUUCAAGGUGCUGCAUGGUUGUCGUCAGCUCGUGCCGUGAGGUGUCGGGUUAAGUCCCAUAACGAGCGCAACCCCUAUCGAUAGUUACCAGCACGUUACGGUGGGGACUCUAUCGAGACUGCCGGUGUAAACCGUGAGGAGGGUGGGGAUGACGUCAAAUCAGCACGGCCCUUACAUCCAGGGCUACACACGUGUUACAAUGGCCGGUACAAAGGGCAGCUACACAGCGAUGUGAUGCUAAUCUCCAAAUCCGGUCUCAGUUCGGAUCGAAGUCUGCAACCCGACUUCGUGAAGCUGGAUUCGCUAGUAAUCGCGCAUCAGCCAUGGCGCGGUGAAUACGUUCCCGGGCCUUGCACACACCGCCCGUCAAG